This 392-nucleotide long non-coding RNA is filed under the name Rattus norvegicus (Norway rat). RNAcentral describes it as "long non-coding RNA NONRATT031959". Lineage: Eukaryota; Metazoa; Chordata; Mammalia; Rodentia; Muridae. The record is from RNAcentral.
GCAUCACAUCUACACCUGAGAUUUAGAAAGUUGUCUAUUACGUGGCUUUAACAUGUCAUCAGGGAGCCUCAGCACAUGCUCAGGCUUUUCUCCAAGUAAGUCCUCGAUGAUAAAGUCAGAGAUAAGAAAUAUUCAACUGGCAUUGAAGAUCCAGACUGAGAUGCUGGCAGAGGCCAGGCAAGCAACGACUUCACAAAUUAGUAAAGAAUGGGAGAAGAAAGAUUAUAGGAGUACGGGGCUGGAGAGAUGGCUCAGUGGUUAAGAGCACCUGACUGCUCUUCCAGAGGUCCUGAGUUCAAAUCCCAGCAACCACAUGGUGGCUCACAACCAUCUGUAAUGGGAUCUGAUGCCCUCUUCUGGUGUGUCUGAAGACAGCUGUAGUGUAUUUAUAU